UGCUUUUGCUAUCUUCUGCUUGCCAUGAACUGGUUCUCUUCUGCCAUGCCACCCUGCCUUGGAGCUAGCCGAUUAUGGACUGAAACCUCUACAAACUGUGAGCUAAAUAAACCUUUCCUCCUUUAACUUUAGGUGUUGGGUAUUUUGCCUCAGAAAUGAGAAAAGGAGCUAAGACAUUGGUCCAGGUCAGCCACUCUUGGGUUGCAUCUGCCCCCACUGAACCACAGUCUUAUGACAGGCUGCUGUUGUCAUGCUUGCUGCUUGUAAACAACUUAGGUAUGGUUAAAUUACCUACUGAUUGCUAACUUUCUACCAGUGUAGAAACCCCCGGUAUGCCUCCACCCUAGGAUGGUCCCAAACCCUUGUCUUUAGAAAUCUCUUCCUUGUUCUUUAAUGUUCUGUGCCCUAAUCUCCUGCCACAUCCUAGCUAGAGGCUCUCACCUCAACUUUGGACUUCUCUUCUAAGUCCAUAUCCAAGAUAUUGUGCAAACCUUUCUAUUAAUGUUCAACCAACACUCAUGAGCACCUUCUGUGUAAAAGACAUCCAUCUAUGGAGACUCAAUAAACGAUAAACAAGCAUUGUCAACCAGAACUGGGAUCUACCUUUGGCUUCCAUCCCCAGAAGCAAAUCUCAUAAGAAGUGAGCACCAUUGUUCACAAGGAGGGCUUUGCAGGAGGUGGAGGAUGCUCAUAAGAGUGUGGAAAAUAAGCAAAGAUGAGCAACAUCUUUGUGGGAUGAUGCUAGCACACGUCUGCUCAGAGACAGAGUCUCCUCCUGGGAGCUCUGGGAGGAACAAAUUCACCUCUCCUUGGGACUUGUGGAUGGAGAAAUGCAGAAAAGGACAGGGUUUUGAGACACAGACAUCUACCUGGUUCCCUUGUGUAAACAAUGUCCUGACAAUGCCAACUACCUCUGAGCUUGGAGACUUGCUCCCCAUCUCACCCUGCUACAACUUUCUGCAUCCUGGUCACUCUCCAUCUUGUUAGAUUCGCUGCACCUCAGCCCCUUGCCCCCUGACCACUGUCACCUUCAAAGGACUAUGAGAAGAAAAAAGAAGAGAGAGAAGAGAAGGAAGAGCAAUUUGAGGACUUGAUCCAUUUCCUUUUCUUUUUAGAAAUAUAUUUUAUAUUGCAUAUGCUGACUAUUUACUUGUUUACUUAUUUAUUACAGUGUUGGGGAUCAAAGCAAGGACCUUAAACAUGCCCAAUGAUUUGACUAUUUUCUUCAGGGUCUUUAUGUCAUGCUUUCUGCUGUAGUUAACACAAUCUGCAGUCACAUUUCCUGGGAACUUAUCACACUCACAGGCGAUGCUCAAAGGGUAAACCUAUCUUUAUGUCAAAGGGCUCCUUCCCCAUCUACUCUUACAGGUUACUAGAAGGGCACAGCUAAGGCAUUGAUUAGCUAGCAUCUACAGUGGUCCUUCCUAUCCAGGGUUUGAGCUGAGAGGGGCAGAGACUCUAGGUAGUGAAGUUCUGGGAAUACCAUGUAGUACUGGCUGGUAAUAGCCCCGUCAGUGUGUCAGCAUGGCCAGUGUGCAAAGAGAACUGAGGCUCAGAGUACAGGAUGAAUCUGGCUUUGUAGGGCCUGAAACUUGUACAACUUGGGGAUCCUCCUUAAGAAAAAGAAUAUGAAUGUGUCUUAGUUCACUUCCUGUUGCUAUAGCUGGACACCAUAGAUUGGGUCAUUUAUAAAAGAUAAAGUUUUACUUAGCACAUGUUUCUGGAGGCUGGGAGGUGAAGGGACCUCAUCAGGUAAAGAUCUUGCUGGUGAGUGGUACAGGGUGUCAAAUGGCAAAAGACUCAGCCAAACCCACUUUUGGGUUUUAUAGCUAAUUUACUCUCAAGAUAAUCCAUUAACACAUUAAAUUUCAACAUGAAUUUUGUUGGGGACCCUUGUGGGAUAGCAAUGAGUAUACAAGUCUGCAGUUUUUAGAUGACUCCUGCUAUUCUCAUAACUGUCUUAUUUAAAUUAGCUCAAGCGGCUUUCUGUUUCUUCCUGCACCAAGAAGUCAGCACUCUUAGCACUGUUUUUCCUUCUUUCAAUUCUAAAGGCAAACUCAGUUUAACUUUUUUUGUCCCUGAAACAUUUCCUGCUUAACCAGACCACUGAGAUGUGCAAUAAAGUUUUGAAUUUUUCUUACAAUAA
Molecule: long non-coding RNA, 2146 nt
Filed under: Chinchilla lanigera (long-tailed chinchilla)
Lineage: Eukaryota; Metazoa; Chordata; Mammalia; Rodentia; Chinchillidae
Description: lncRNA (ENSCLAG00000022769.1)
Source: RNAcentral